RNAcentral lists this ribosomal RNA (375 nucleotides) under uncultured bacterium. RNAcentral describes it as "bacterial SSU rRNA". It matches the Rfam family "Bacterial small subunit ribosomal RNA", at positions 30 to 406 of the family's 1533-position model. The record is from RNAcentral.
AUUGAACGCUGGCGGCAUGCUUUACACAUGCAAGUCGAACGGACCUAGGGGCUUGCUCCUAGGUUAGUGGCGAACGGGUGAGUAAUGCAUCGGAACGUACCGUGUAAUGGGGGAUAACGCAGCGAAAGUUGUGCUAAUACCGCAUACGAUCUACGGAUGAAAGCAGGGGAUCGCAAGACCUUGCGUUAUACGAGCGGCCGAUGUCGGAUUAGCUAGUUGGUAGGGUAAAGGCCUACCAAGGCGACGAUCCGUAGCUGGUCUGAGAGGAUGAUCAGCCACACUGGAACUGAGACACGGUCCAGACUCCUACGGGAGGCAGCAGUGGGGGAAUAUUGGACAAUGGGGGCAACCCUGAUCCAGCCAUGCCGCGUGUGU